AUGCGUGUUCCGUCAAGAGUCCUGCAACACGCGGCCGACCUCGCCCCCUCCGGCACCGGAGGGACGUCGUCGUCGUUGCCUGCUUCACCACAGCAACCGCCGGAGCAGGCAGCGCCGAUGACGGUGGACUCAGACAUGGCGGUCAUCCUGGCGUCAAUGAUGUGCGCGCUCGUUUGCGUCCUUAGACUCGCUCUUGCUUCCCGGUGCGCAUGCCGACGCCGAUGCUCCAGCUCUAGUUCGUCCUCCAACCCACACCCGGAGGGCCUCAAGAAGGCAAUUGACGUGCUCCCCACCGUCUCCUUUGCCACAGCAGCUUCACCGCAACCGGCAGCAACGAAGUGUGCGAUAUGCCUAGCCGAGUUCACGGUGGGGGAGAGCAUGCGCGUUCUCCCGCGUUGCGGCCACGCCUUCCACGUUCUCUGCAUCGAUACUUGGCUCCGGACCUGCACCAGCUGCCCCUUUUGCCGCGCCUCCAUCGUUGCUGCUCCAGCCCCUGCACCUACGCUAGUGGUUGUAGUGGCAGGGAACAAUAGGUGCGGGAGGUGCGGCGAGCUGACCGCGCCGGCUGGUGGUGGAGAUAGCACGUUCUUGCCUUAA
RNAcentral lists this ribosomal RNA (597 nucleotides) under Triticum aestivum (bread wheat). RNAcentral's name for it is "partial small subunit ribosomal RNA". The record is from RNAcentral. Lineage: Eukaryota; Viridiplantae; Streptophyta; Magnoliopsida; Poales; Poaceae.